CAUGUUGCUCCUACCAAAACACACUGAUUGUACUAUUGAUGGUCUGAAUGUCAACACCUCAGUCCAGCUCAGCAACAACAAACACUGCAUCAGCUGUGUGGAAACUCUGCUCUAGUGUAGCUUAAGAAAGCAGAGAUGGAAGGGAAAUCAAUACUACUGGGGGAAAGAAAAGCAGCACCAGCUCUUACCCAGUAAAAACACAACUCCCUUCACCCACCUCAGUGUCCAGUUAAGGGGCCUGCUGCAAAGGUCAUCAUGAUAUUUUUUUGGUACAGAAAAACCUCCUAACUGCUUCCUAAGGUGUAACUUUGCAGACUACCAUGUUAACAGGAAAUUUUCACAUUAAUGCUCCUGCAAUGCUGCAACUUAAAUACCUUGUUCAGACAGAAGGGGGAGUGACUUCAAGGUGUUUUUUAAUGCUGACUUUUGCCAUUUGUAAAACCACAGGUAGAUGUCUUCAUUACUGACUUGCUUAAAUCUAAGUUAAGUUUAAUGUAGUUUAACCACAAUCAUCUGUUUCCCCCUAGCCCCCAAAAUGAGGUGGAAGCACCUGGAGGCAUUCAGCCCUUUCAGCACUCACCCAGCUAAAACUAUGGACAUUACGUAAAAGUGAUAGUAGACUCUGCAACAUGUAAAGUUACAGGUUAGUUAUUUGCUAAUGGUUUAGUAUGGGUAAUCAAGAGUGUGGGAUGCUCCUCACAGCUGUGAUACCUCAGGAGUAUACUGUUGUGCUUCUGCUUUUCACAGGGCAGAAACUAACCAUGCACCCUGUAACUGGUGUGUGAGGGUGGGCCAUAAGGACGUUACCUGACUUAACAGGACUAGCUUUGGAGUAAUGCACAGUCUCCUUACAUCCUCAGGGAA
This is a long non-coding RNA of Pezoporus occidentalis (night parrot), 864 nucleotides long. RefSeq lists it as uncharacterized. The record is from RefSeq and is a predicted model, not a curated record. Lineage: Eukaryota; Metazoa; Chordata; Aves; Psittaciformes; Psittacidae. The transcript is spliced from 2 exons.